Molecule: long non-coding RNA, 1223 nt
Filed under: Xyrichtys novacula (pearly razorfish)
Lineage: Eukaryota; Metazoa; Chordata; Actinopteri; Labriformes; Labridae
Source: RNAcentral
AGCACAUUUAACUUCUCUUCCUCCACCGUGUUCCUACAAAUGCAGAAAACUCAAAAAGUUCAUUGUGUGAGUUAGUCUAAGAAUGGAGUUCUUCCAAUUAGACAAUCCCAACAAUUAUCACAAACAUUCAGCGACUUUCCAAUUUAGAGAUGAUAAGACAACAUAGGAUAAUAUGGAUAUAAAAAGAGGGUACUGCCUCAUGUUCCUUAGGAUGUUAUUUUUUUCUUCUAAAUUCCAAAUUUGCUGAAAUCAACAAAAAUCCUAUUUAUUUGCCAAAAUAAAGCGCCAUUACUUCAAAAGCCUAAUAACUUGGAUUGGUGUGAAAUUGCAGUAUGUCCAUUUGUGGUUCUCGGGUUUUGACACAGGUAUGAGUUAUACAGACGUUUCCCUGUAUAUUAUAAAGUAUGUACAUGAUAUAUGUGUGUGGUAAAGACUUGGCAGCGCCUGAGGUCCUGAAGCAAGCCUCUACCAAUUCAGCACCAUGGACAGCGCAGACAGCUACUUUAGGAAGAGAAUGAGAGCAUUUCUAUACCGUGGUGCUUUAUUUCUUUCAUGCUUCUUUUCUGUUUUAAAGUAAUCUAUAUCUAUAGAUCCAUAUGAAUACAGUGUCAUGAUUUAUUGGAAAAGCUCUAAGGAUUCUGGUUUCCAUUUAUAGAAACAGAGGUGCUUUAGCAGAAAGAAAUAUGGCUCCAUUCAAGAAAAGGAUGUGGAAAUCAAGAGGCAAAGGGGAAAUGACGGCAAUCUAGGAGAACUGCAUAAGCCAGCUUGUGAGGCAUCACACAAGGUAUGCUGUCAACUCUAACUCACUCUGUAGAAAGAUAAAGGCUUCUUCCUGAAAUCUGAGCCCGAUUUCAGCUUCAGAACCCAUUUUGAGUAUUUUCUUCUCUAGUUUUCAGCUAACAAAUCAUAGGAGUAGAACCUCAGAUUUCUAUAGAGUCAGCCAGCUAGCUCACCUUGUUGGUAUUUGGAACAUCUAGAGGCUGAAGUGAGCUGAAUACUGAUCAGAAUAGAGGAAGAUAAGCCCAUGAUGAUGGAUAGUCUUGGAUUCAUUACUUCACUGUUUUUGUUUGAUGUUUUUCGUAGCUUCAGUCAAGAAACACUUCAGUCCCUGGACCCCAAAGACAAAGAAGGGUAUGAGAGCCCUGGAGCUGUUUGUAUAGAUGGUAUAAUAUGCAAAGAAAGAAAGACAGAAAAGAAGAGAGAGAGGGAGAAAAGAUUGCAGC